Molecule: ribosomal RNA, 497 nt
Filed under: uncultured bacterium
Lineage: Bacteria
Description: partial 16S ribosomal RNA
Rfam family: Bacterial small subunit ribosomal RNA
Source: RNAcentral
GAUGAACGCUGGCGGCGUGCCUAAUACAUGCAAGUCGAGCGAACGGACUAGAAGCUUGCUUCUCUGAUGUUAGCGGCGGACGGGUGAGUAACACGUGGAUAACCUACCUAUAAGACUGGGAUAACUUCGGGAAACCGGAGCUAAUACCGGAUGAUAUUUUGAACCGCAUGGUUCAAAAGUGAAAGACGGUCUUGCUGUCACUUAUAGAUGGAUCCGCGCUGCAUUAGCUAGUUGGUAAGGUAACGGCUUACCAAGGCAACGAUGCAUAGCCGACCUGAGAGGGUGAUCGGCCACACUGGAACUGAGACACGGUCCAGACUCCUACGGGAGGCAGCAGUAGGGAAUCUUCCGCAAUGGGCGAAAGCCUGACGGAGCAACGCCGCGUGAGUGAUGAAGGUCUUCGGAUCGUAAAACUCUGUUAUUAGGGAAGAACAUAUGUGUAAGUAACUGUGCACAUCUUGACGGUACCUAAUCAGAAAGUCACGGAUAACUACGUG